Phyllopteryx taeniolatus (common seadragon) is the source of this 674-nucleotide long non-coding RNA. RefSeq lists it as uncharacterized. The record is from RefSeq and is a predicted model, not a curated record. The transcript is spliced from 3 exons. NCBI's taxonomy places the organism in Eukaryota, Metazoa, Chordata, Actinopteri, Syngnathiformes, Syngnathidae.
GGCACCGUAAUAGCCGCCGUGUCACCGGGUGUGGACCUUUUCACCGUGAUGUCACACGUGCGUCCAUGUGGCAAAAGCUGAAGCGAUCUCAGAACGGAUUCGUAAACAAGCUCUUUUAUGUCAUUUGACCAAGACAGAUUGACUGAGAAAUCAGGCACCUUCCUCGGCCACGCACCUCUCACCAAUCAGCCCUCGUUAGAACCUGCUUUUAAGCCUGCCUGUACCCGGAAAUCCUAGCCAGAAUAUUGCAUCUUCUGCAAGCAUGUUCCCUCUGUGUUCCUUGCCAAGUGACUUCCCAUGCCGCCAACCCAGCCAGCUAUCCUCGUCACCACCUGCCACGCAUUCUCUGCCUCAACAACCCGCCAGCACAUCUCAAGGACCAUCUACAUUUCCCUUUGUUUCAAUAAACUGUUCAUCACAACCUCUCAGCCUCCGCCUGCUCUUGGGUCCAGUCUCUAUCCGUUCGUGACAGUCCUAAUAUUAUGAGAAAAAAAGACAUAAUUUUAUGAGAAUUAAGUACUAAUAUGAGGGCGGAGAUAGUUGUAGUUAUACAAGAAUUAAGUCAAAACAUGGGAGAAAAAAGACAUACUUUUUCAAGAAAAAACCUACUCUGAGGAAAAUAUACAUAUAUAUAUAUAAUUUUCUAUGGUGGCACGGUGGACGACUGGUUAGAG